CAAAGGGAUCAGGUUUCCAGGCCGCCUUGAAAACCAAGAAGGCAGCUUCAAAACCGAGGCUGGUUUUCAAGGCGGCCCGAAAACCACUUCCGGUUUCCAAGUCGUCU
Molecule: small RNA, 107 nt
Filed under: Puccinia graminis f. sp. tritici
Lineage: Eukaryota; Fungi; Basidiomycota; Pucciniomycetes; Pucciniales; Pucciniaceae
Also listed under: 1 other name
Description: A. fumigatus sRNA Afu_203
Rfam family: A. fumigatus sRNA Afu_203
Source: Rfam by way of RNAcentral